RNAcentral lists this unclassified non-coding RNA (188 nucleotides) under uncultured Ascobolus. Its description in RNAcentral is "sequence contains ITS1". The record is from RNAcentral. Lineage: Eukaryota; Fungi; Ascomycota; Pezizomycetes; Pezizales; Ascobolaceae.
GAGAAAUACGCCUGGGUGAUCUUAACAGUGAUCCCAGUGCAGUAUAUCAACCACCUGUUUACCUUUACCUGUUGCUUCCGUGGAAUCACGGGUGCCCUUCCUGCCUGCAGGCAUGGGUUACCUUCCACGGGUGUAUUUCAAAAAUCGUUUUAGUAUGUUUUGUCUGAUCAAAUUUUUAAUUAAAGUUA